UGAACAAAAGACUCAGAAAGUAAACAUUACAAUCUAUUUAUAUGUUAAAGUAUGAUUCAAUACAAAGUGUCAGUUAAAUCCCCUCCCCCAAAGAGUCCCUGGACAAAAUUAUUUCCAACUUUAGUCUUUAUAGUUUUACUUUCCUCUAUCACUUAUCUGUUAUUUAAUUCACUUCACAUGUUAUAUCUAAGGCCUAUCCCUUUUCCUCCAGCACCCAGCUUGUAUUUCCACUGUGCUCUCAACUUUUGCAUAAUAAAAAUCCAAGUGUGUUGUAAAGUGUUUGCCUAGCAUGUGUAAGGCCCCGGGAGGUGAUUUCUGAAAGUGGAGAAGAGACUAACAAGAAAAAAAAUCAAAUUCUUCUUGGAUGAAAUCGGGCUUGAUUAGAAGGCUGGGGAUGAUUAAGAGUUAAUAACCGUUGUCACAUCUAAGCCUAUACCAAAUGUAUAAAAGUAAUCCGUAAUUACUGACCGAAAAAGUCUUUGUAGAUUGUUGUCUUUGUUCCUGUUGCAGGAUGGAUUGGUCACUUUCCUAGCACCGGAACGAAAAUACCUGGCGCCCACAGCUUACAGGAGGGAGACUUACUUUGGCUUCACAGAUUCAGGGGCUUCGAUCUACGGAGGGUGUACGUGCUUGCAGAGAGACCUCGUCCAAUGCCCUUGACCUGCCACCACGAAGACCACGUCACUACUGCACAAUGUCGGGGAAGGACUCGAAGAGGUUAUUUCAUCUGCCCUGAUCCCUACCCUUUAUUUUUAAGGUUGAUGACCUCAGCUCACACUGGAAAGAAUGGAAAAACACGGGUCUAUUUUAAGGGGAUAUUUAUGUCAAAGAUGGCGGAGACUUUCUCCAUAGGGUCAUUUUAACAGCCUAGUGAGAGGUAU
Fukomys damarensis (Damara mole-rat) is the source of this 881-nucleotide long non-coding RNA. RefSeq lists it as uncharacterized. The record is from RefSeq and is a predicted model, not a curated record. The transcript has 3 exons. Lineage: Eukaryota; Metazoa; Chordata; Mammalia; Rodentia; Bathyergidae.